This 2932-nucleotide ribosomal RNA is filed under the name Klebsiella aerogenes. RNAcentral describes it as "bacterial LSU rRNA". It matches the Rfam family "Bacterial large subunit ribosomal RNA". Lineage: Bacteria; Pseudomonadati; Pseudomonadota; Gammaproteobacteria; Enterobacterales; Enterobacteriaceae. The record is from RNAcentral.
GGGUUGUGAGGUUAAGCGACUAAGCGUACACGGUGGAUGCCCUGGCAGUCAGAGGCGAUGAAGGACGUGCUAAUCUGCGAAAAGCGUCGGUAAGGUGAUAUGAACCGUUAUAACCGGCGAUGUCCGAAUGGGGAAACCCAGUGCAAUUCGUUGCACUAUCGUUAACUGAAUACAUAGGUUAACGAGGCGAACCGGGGGAACUGAAACAUCUAAGUACCCCGAGGAAAAGAAAUCAACCGAGAUUCCCCCAGUAGCGGCGAGCGAACGGGGAGCAGCCCAGAGUCUGAAUCAGCUUGUGUGUUAGUGGAACGGUCUGGAAAGUCCGACGGUACAGGGUGAUAGUCCCGUACACCAAAAUGCACAGGCUGUGAACUCGAAGAGUAGGGCGGGACACGUGGUAUCCUGUCUGAAUAUGGGGGGACCAUCCUCCAAGGCUAAAUACUCCUGACUGACCGAUAGUGAACCAGUACCGUGAGGGAAAGGCGAAAAGAACCCCGGCGAGGGGAGUGAAAAAGAACCUGAAACCGUGUACGUACAAGCAGUGGGAGCACCUUCGGGUGUGACUGCGUACCUUUUGUAUAAUGGGUCAGCGACUUAUAUUCUGUAGCAAGGUUAACCGUAUAGGGGAGCCGCAGGGAAACCGAGUCUUAACUGGGCGUUAAGUUGCAGGGUAUAGACCCGAAACCCGGUGAUCUAGCCAUGGGCAGGUUGAAGGUUGGGUAACACUAACUGGAGGACCGAACCGACUAAUGUUGAAAAAUUAGCGGAUGACUUGUGGCUGGGGGUGAAAGGCCAAUCAAACCGGGAGAUAGCUGGUUCUCCCCGAAAGCUAUUUAGGUAGCGCCUCGUGAACUCAUCUUCGGGGGUAGAGCACUGUUUCGGCUAGGGGGUCAUCCCGACUUACCAACCCGAUGCAAACUACGAAUACCGAAGAAUGUUAUCACGGGAGACACACGGCGGGUGCUAACGUCCGUCGUGAAGAGGGAAACAACCCAGACCGCCAGCUAAGGUCCCAAAGUCACAGUUAAGUGGGAAACGAUGUGGGAAGGCACAGACAGCCAGGAUGUUGGCUUAGAAGCAGCCAUCAUUUAAAGAAAGCGUAAUAGCUCACUGGUCGAGUCGGCCUGCGCGGAAGAUGUAACGGGGCUAAACUGUGCACCGAAGCUGCGGCAGCGACACUAUGUGUUGUUGGGUAGGGGAGCGUUCUGUAAGCCUGCGAAGGUGGCCUGUGAGGGUUGCUGGAGGUAUCAGAAGUGCGAAUGCUGACAUAAGUAACGAUAAUGCGGGUGAAAAGCCCGCACGCCGGAAGACCAAGGGUUCCUGUCCAACGUUAAUCGGGGCAGGGUGAGUCGACCCCUAAGGCGAGGCCGAAAGGCGUAGUCGAUGGGAAACAGGUUAAUAUUCCUGUACUUGGUGUUACUGCGAAGGGGGGACGGAGAAGGCUAUGUUAGCCGGGCGACGGUUGUCCCGGUUUAAGCAUGUAGGCGGAGGUUCCAGGUAAAUCCGGUACCUUUUUAACGCUGAGGUGUGAUGACGAGGCACUACGGUGCUGAAGUAACAAAUGCCCUGCUUCCAGGAAAAGCCUCUAAGCAUCAGGUAACAUUGAAUCGUACCCCAAACCGACACAGGUGGUCAGGUAGAGAAUACCAAGGCGCUUGAGAGAACUCGGGUGAAGGAACUAGGCAAAAUGGUGCCGUAACUUCGGGAGAAGGCACGCUGAUAUGUAGGUGAAGCCCCUGCGGGUGGAGCUGAAAUCAGUCGAAGAUACCAGCUGGCUGCAACUGUUUAUUAAAAACACAGCACUGUGCAAACACGAAAGUGGACGUAUACGGUGUGACGCCUGCCCGGUGCCGGAAGGUUAAUUGAUGGGGUUAUCCGUAAGGAGAAGCUCUUGAUCGAAGCCCCGGUAAACGGCGGCCGUAACUAUAACGGUCCUAAGGUAGCGAAAUUCCUUGUCGGGUAAGUUCCGACCUGCACGAAUGGCGUAAUGAUGGCCAGGCUGUCUCCACCCGAGACUCAGUGAAAUUGAACUCGCUGUGAAGAUGCAGUGUACCCGCGGCAAGACGGAAAGACCCCGUGAACCUUUACUAUAGCUUGACACUGAACAUUGAGCCUUGAUGUGUAGGAUAGGUGGGAGGCUUUGAAGCGUGGACGCCAGUCUGCGUGGAGCCAACCUUGAAAUACCACCCUUUAAUGUUUGAUGUUCUAACGUUGGCCCCUGAUCGGGGUUGCGGACAGUGUCUGGUGGGUAGUUUGACUGGGGCGGUCUCCUCCCAAAGAGUAACGGAGGAGCACGAAGGUUAGCUAAUCCUGGUCGGACAUCAGGAGGUUAGUGCAAUGGCAUAAGCUAGCUUGACUGCGAGCGUGACGGCGCGAGCAGGUGCGAAAGCAGGUCAUAGUGAUCCGGUGGUUCUGAAUGGAAGGGCCAUCGCUCAACGGAUAAAAGGUACUCCGGGGAUAACAGGCUGAUACCGCCCAAGAGUUCAUAUCGACGGCGGUGUUUGGCACCUCGAUGUCGGCUCAUCACAUCCUGGGGCUGAAGUAGGUCCCAAGGGUAUGGCUGUUCGCCAUUUAAAGUGGUACGCGAGCUGGGUUUAGAACGUCGUGAGACAGUUCGGUCCCUAUCUGCCGUGGGCGCUGGAGAAUUGAGGGGGGCUGCUCCUAGUACGAGAGGACCGGAGUGGACGCAUCACUGGUGUUCGGGUUGUCAUGCCAAUGGCAUUGCCCGGUAGCUAAAUGCGGAAGAGAUAAGUGCUGAAAGCAUCUAAGCACGAAACUUGCCCCGAGAUGAGUUCUCCCUGACUCCUUGAGAGUCCUGAAGGAACGUUAAAGACGAUGACGUUGAUAGGUCGGGUGUGUAAGCGUAGCGAUACGUUGAGCUAACCGAUACUAAUGAACCGUGAGGCUUAACCUUACAACGCCGAAGGUGUUU